This 550-nucleotide ribosomal RNA is filed under the name uncultured bacterium. RNAcentral's name for it is "bacterial SSU rRNA". It matches the Rfam family "Bacterial small subunit ribosomal RNA", at positions 355 to 896 of the family's 1533-position model. The record is from RNAcentral.
UGGGGAAUAUUGGACAAUGGGCGCAAGCCUGAUCCAGCCAUGCCGCGUGGGUGAAGAAGGCCUUCAGGUUGUAAAGCCCUUUUGUUAGGAAAGAAAAGCAGUCAGUUAAUACCCGAUUGUUCUGACGGUACCCAAAGAAUAAGCACCGGCUAACUUCGUGCCAGCAGCCGCGGUAAUACGAAGGGUGCAAGCGUUACUCGGAAUUACUGGGCGUAAAGCGUGCGUAGGUGGUGGUUUAAGUCUGUUGUGAAAGCCCUGGGCUCAACCUGGGAAUUGCAGUGGAUACUAGGUCACUAGAGUGUGGUAGAGGGUAGCGGAAUUCCCGGUGUAGCAGUGAAAUGCGUAGAGAUCGGGAGGAACAUCCGUGGCGAAGGCGGCUACCUGGACCAACACUGACACUGAGGCACGAAAGCGUGGGGAGCAAACAGGAUUAGAUACCCUGGUAGUCCACGCCCUAAACGAUGCGAACUGGAUGUUGGGUGCAAUUUGGCACGCAGUAUCGAAGCUAACGCGUUAAGUUCGCCGCCUGGGGAGUACGGUCGCAAGACUG